This 413-nucleotide ribosomal RNA is filed under the name uncultured bacterium. RNAcentral describes it as "bacterial SSU rRNA". It matches the Rfam family "Bacterial small subunit ribosomal RNA", at positions 8 to 435 of the family's 1533-position model. The record is from RNAcentral.
AGAGUUUGAUCCUGGCUCAGAAUCAACGCUGGCGGCGUGCCUAACACAUGCAAGUCGAACGAGAAAGUGGAGCAAUCCAUGAGUAAAGUGGCGACCGGGUGAGUAACACGUGACUAACCUACCUUCGAGUGGGGGAUAACCUCGGGAAACCGAGGCUAAUACCGCAUAACAUCGCAAGAUCAAAGCAGCAAUGCGCUUGAAGAGGGGGUCGCGGCUGAUUAGCCAGUUGGCGGGGUAACGGCCCACCAAAGCGAAGAUCGGUAGCCGGCCUGAGAGGGCGCACGGCCACACUGGAACUGAAACACGGUCCAGACUCCUACGGGAGGCAGCAGUGGGGAAUUUUGCGCAAUGGGGGAAACCCUGACGCAGCAACGCCGCGUGGAGGAUGAAGCCCCUUGGGGCGUAAACUCCUU